GGGUUGUGAGGUUAAGCGACUAAGCGUACACGGUGGAUGCCCUGGCAGUCAGAGGCGAUGAAGGGCGUGCUAAUCUGCGAUAAGCGCCGGUAAGGUGAUAUGAACCGUUAUAACCGGCGAUACCCGAAUGGGGAAACCCAGUGUGAUUCGUCACACUAUCAUUAACUGAAUCCAUAGGUUAAUGAGGCGAACCGGGGGAACUGAAACAUCUAAGUACCCCGAGGAAAAGAAAUCAACCGAGAUUCCCCCAGUAGCGGCGAGCGAACGGGGAGGAGCCCAGAGCCUGAAUCAGCAUGUGUGUUAGUGGAAGCGUCUGGAAAGGCGCGCGAUACAGGGUGACAGCCCCGUACACAAAAGCGCAUAUGCUGUGAGCUCGAUGAGUAGGGCGGGACACGUGGUAUCCUGUCUGAAUAUGGGGGGACCAUCCUCCAAGGCUAAAUACUCCUGACUGACCGAUAGUGAACCAGUACCGUGAGGGAAAGGCGAAAAGAACCCCGGCGAGGGGAGUGAAAAAGAACCUGAAACCGUGUA
RNAcentral lists this ribosomal RNA (531 nucleotides) under Salmonella enterica. RNAcentral describes it as "partial 23S ribosomal RNA". It matches the Rfam family "Bacterial large subunit ribosomal RNA", at positions 1 to 562 of the family's 2925-position model. The record is from RNAcentral. RNAcentral also lists the same sequence under 2 other names. Lineage: Bacteria; Pseudomonadati; Pseudomonadota; Gammaproteobacteria; Enterobacterales; Enterobacteriaceae.